GAGGCUCAGGUAAUCCAGUCACUGGCCAAGUUACCCUUCUACCCUUUGCCUAGGGCCUGCACAAAGGAGAAGGGAGGGCCGGAAAAGACCUCAGUCUUUGCUAAGCCCUUUCCACUGCUGUUGAAUUUGGGAUUUGAGGCUAAGCAAAGUCUGCUUAAAAAGAUCAUAGCACCAGUGACAGUUGGGAAAAAAUACAUGUCUGAACUUGUUUAGCUGAACCCACACGUUGGUGUGGAGUGAUAGGCUAAACGCUUAUUCCUUUGUUUGCUUUUCCUAAUAAGAGAAAAUGGAUGUGAAAGACCAUGAGGCUUUACAAACAUCCGGGGCUAAUACUGGUGGUUGGACUCACUUAGUCCUUAUGGAACCGAGCCAUCACUACUCACUGAGCUCAGGGGAUGGCCAUAAAUACCCACAGAGGACAUGCGUGUGGGGGUAAUGAGCAUCAUCAAGCCUUUUGCACAUGUACUGUGCCCAAGAAUCCUAUAAAGGGAUUAUUAUUUCCCCAUUUCACACAUGGGAAAACUGAGGCCCCGACGGGGGAAGUGACUUGCCCUUAUAGCCAGCCAGGACUCACACCCCAUUCACUCUGAGAACAUGGUCUGAGUUCUUAACUACCAGGCUACACUAUUUUCUCUAUAAUGGACAAAAAGUCUGCCGAGAUUUUCACUUUUUCCAAAUCACUCUCACCAUCUUAGUUGUUCCUCUCAGCAAACUGAGAGCCACCAGGGUAGGUGUUAUGCCCACUUGACAGUUUGGGAAACUGAGGCCUAGAGGGGAACGUAACUGGGCUGGGAUCACACAGCAAGUUAGGGGAGCGGCCAGCACUGGAGUCCUCGCCUCCUGACAUCCAGGCCCGAGCUGGAAUCAUGCGGUGCCUGAACCUGUGCCCUUCUCCUCAGACGGCAGCAGUCUCUUGCUUUGCCUUUUGAGGGCAGGAGACCCCCCGUUUUCUGAAGGAGCCUCCCAGUGUGGGGGCAGAGGGUGACACCUUUAAGGCAGAUCCCCUCAGGAGUCUGGCCUCCUUGAGCCGGCUUCUUCUCUCUCCCUCCUUCUUUUGCUCCCUUCUUUCUCUCUGUCUGCCUUGGACGCUGUGGAAGGGGCGGUCAAGGGCCCACACUGUGGUUCUGAUAUGUCCAGGGAACAGCCAGGCGGGAGCCUCAGAGCCUGAGGAACUGGGGGUGAAAGGAACUCGGACAGCCAGCGCAUUGCCGGAUGAGGAGUCUGUGGCAGUAACAGCAGGCAACAGUAACACUGAUAAUAGUAAUCAAUGCUGACAGAUAACCUCUACUGAGCACUUGGUGCUAAACCUCGUACAUGCUUCUUGUGAUCAUGUGAUUUCUAUCAGUCUCCAUUUUACAGAUGAGAAAACCGAGGGCAGAGAGGUAAGAGACUUACUCAAGACUCAGAGCCAGCGGUGGUGCUGGGAGUAAACCUAAGUUUCUCUGUCCCCAAGGCCUGUGCUAUUCACCUGAUACCACAUUUGUCCAAGGUCAUGGCGCCAGGAUCAGGACCAGAAUCCCAGGUGGUCGUCCUUCCUUCCAUCCUUCCUUCCUUCCAUCCUUCCCACCUUCCUCCAUUCUUCCCUCCCUCUCUCCUUUCCUUCCACAAAAAUGCACUGAGUGCCUACUCUGUGCCAGGCACUAGGUCAGGUGCCAGGUAAACAGAAUCCUUCUGUGCCUUCCAAUGUUCCCAGCUCCCCUCGGAUGUCUUAGAUCCCUGCUGUGGGGCUGGCAGGUUCCCUGGGGCCCCUAAAAUCAAAGUCACCCCCUCACUGGAGCCUUUAAGAUCCCCAGGCCCCUCCCCACUGAAGGCCGCUCCCUCACGCCUCUCGUACACACACAGAACGCUGCAUAAACGCUCAGGAUUCUCCAAGUAAGCACAGGUCCCCCACCUUUUUGUUAUCCUUAGACCCUCCGGGGCUCAUUACCUCCCUGCACACAGCUUAGGUGACCUCAGAUCAGCACCGCGGAAAUCCAGCUCCCUGUUCCUGCCUGCCUGAAGCCUCGCAGGGUGCUACACCAGCACCGUGGCAUGUCCUCCAGAAACACAGAGCACCCGGGCUCUGAACACAUAAGGGGGCCGUGGCCACGCCCCCAGACAGGCAGUAGAACUCUGGUCAGGAGCCACGCUGACCUGGGUGGGACCUGGGGGCAAGUCCCAGCCUCAGUUUCCCCAUUGGUAGAUCAUAAUAGGAAGUAUUUGCUGAGCGCUUAUUUUGUGCACUUGGUAAGUGUCUUGCGUAUAUUAUUAACUCACUUAAUCCUCUCAAUGAACCUGUGAAGUAGGCACUAUUGUUACCCCCAUGUUUCAGAUGAGACUCCCAUGGCACAGAGAGGCCAAGGCACUUGCCUGGGGAUACUCAGCUAGUAAGUGGUGGGCACCCCGUCCUGGCUCUGGGGCGGGCUUUCCUACCCACUUCAACACGCUGUCCCCUCUGUCAAGUGGAUACGAUAAUAAUCGCUGCUCGUUAAAGGAGAUAAUUCACCUAAAGCAUUCAGGAGGGGAAAGAGGGACACAGGAGGUGCUCAAUAAAUGAUCACUAUCAUUUAAAUGUCUUGUACAUAGUUGGUGCUUAAUAACUGUUAACAAACUAAGUACACCAGAACUGGGGCACACAAACCCCACAAUCAGAGGAAGAGAGGGGCAGGCGAGAGCAUUUAUUGAGCAGCCACUGUAUACGGGGAUGGGUGAGAGGAGUAAUGUGGGAACCCCACAGGAGCCUGGGGAGACAGCCUGGGUUCUACUUCCUGCCCCGGCCCAGAGGGGUGACAGUCAGGGUUUUGUUUUGGGGGCCCAGCUCUAAGGCUGGGCCAUGAUUCUGUCCUGCUCCUCCGGCUGAGUGCCCCUGGGUUUCCAUGGGGGCAGGUAUACCUUUUGUCUACAGGGAGAAAAUGCAUGUUAUUAAAAAGGAAAUGACCCUGGCCCCACAGCCUCUUGAGCUGCUGACCCGCAGGUUCCCCCAGCCUUGGACUGCUCGCCCCGCAGAGCCACGGCCAGAGCACCAUCAGCUCCCAGGCCUUAUCUUGCCCUGGAAAGCCAUCGAGUCACCUUCCUGGCUCCAGAGUGGGCAGAUCGGAGCCAGACACCUGCUAGGUGGAUGGAGUCUUUGCAAGGUCGCCCUUCCCUUCCUGUGCCCCAAAGAUUGGUGGGGGGAACGUCAGAUAAGUUCGGCUUAGGUAUCUCCAACCCCCACUGUACACACCUGGCCAGACACAAGGAGAGAAAGGAGCCGGGGCCUGGAGACCCUGGCUCCACAGAUCACUGGCUCUGUGGCCUUGGGCAAGACUCUGCACCUCAGUCUCUCCUCUGUAAAAUGGGAAUAGUGAGACCUUUCUCUUGGGUCGUGUGGUGAAGGUUAAAGGAAUGUUGGUUUCCCUCUCUCGUCACUUUCCUGUCCUUGAAGAGCUCACAGUACGGUUGAGAGAAGGGCUUGUGGGCAGCUAAUAGUGAUGCAGUGGAGUGAAAGUAGGGGAUUGAGAUGAGCUAAGGGGCUAGAGGAAGGGAGGUGACAUUGUGCUGGCCUCUAAAGGUCAGGUGGCAUUUUCCAGGUGGAGGAGUAGGGUUGCCAUUCCAGGUAGGGGAGCAGCCUGAGCAAGCACCUGUGGGGUGCAAGAGGGAGGCAGGGUUGGAGCAAGGUGAGAAGAGCGCUAUGGUCACAGCACAGGAUGGGUGUGGGGAAAAGCUCUCUAAUGGCCUGCUGAAGAGUUUGGACUUGACCCCAUAGGUGAUAGGGAGCCAUAGAAUGUUGCUGGGUGAGGGAGUGACAUGGUCAGACUUGUGUGGUAGCUGGAGUGGGAGGAACAAGCCUGGAGUGGGGAUGACCUGAGGAGGCUGGGGCGGGGCCCCCGAGAGAGAUUAGGCCUGAAUUCAUGAAUGCUCCUGACUCACAGUUGUAGGGGCUCAAUGCAUGCUGGGAAGGUUUUCAGAAGGAGGUAGGCUUUGCCCUGUACCCUGAAGGAAUCACAGGAGGAGAGGGGAGCAGGAAAGGGCGCGCCAGGCAGGGGC
This 4005-nucleotide long non-coding RNA is filed under the name Equus caballus (horse). RNAcentral describes it as "lncRNA (ENSECAG00000045659.1)". The record is from RNAcentral. Lineage: Eukaryota; Metazoa; Chordata; Mammalia; Perissodactyla; Equidae.